AUUAGAAACAAAACCAAAGUUGAAAAAUUUUAUUUUAACAAAUUAAGAAUGAACGAUUAAAAUAAAACAAAUACAUAAGUUCAAAAACGAUCAGUGCAACUUACUUGAGAGAGAAAAGAAUAGAGAGCAAGGAGUGGGAGAACAAGAACAAGUGAAAAUAUUUUGAUUAUUUCAUCUCACAGUAACAACAAUUUUAGUUGAAUUUAGACAAAAUGGUGAUUUUGUUAAUAAAGUCAAACAUAUGAAACUUAAUUGUUUCAAAUUAAAAAUAGAUCAACCAACUUGUGGUUUAGGCCAAACCUCAAAGGCAUGCAUUUUUGUAAUGGCCUAACUAAAAAAAAAAUCCAAACCUUUUUUCAAAAUUACAAUUUAAUCUCAAUUUUGACAAUUUAUGCCAAAUUAAAAUAUUUUGUUGCAAUUUUAUUUAGUCAACAAAAAUUGUCAAAAAUAAAAUAAAAAAAU
RNAcentral lists this unclassified non-coding RNA (462 nucleotides) under Hevea brasiliensis (rubber tree). The record is from RNAcentral. Lineage: Eukaryota; Viridiplantae; Streptophyta; Magnoliopsida; Malpighiales; Euphorbiaceae.